Homo sapiens (human) is the source of this 1886-nucleotide long non-coding RNA. The record is from Ensembl. Lineage: Eukaryota; Metazoa; Chordata; Mammalia; Primates; Hominidae.
CAUCCUGCCACUAACAGAUUUCUCCAAACAUCUCUGCACCUCAGAGUGCAAAUACCAUCAAACAUUUCACUCCAUUGAUAGGAAGCAUCCUUCACUAUCUUCUACCAAGGCCUUUCUCCUUUGUUGCUUCAAAAUUUUUUAUGAAAGGAACAUCCAUUUUAUUCAAAGCACCUCCAAACCUGCAGUCCUAAGUUCCAGGCAACUCAAUCCCAAAAAUCCACUGUAGAUGCCCAAAGGGUGGGGUGUUCGGUCUUCAACAUUUUUGCCUUUAUGGCUCCCAGUCAAGAUAGAGCUGCACCAAGUCCAAUUCCAUUCCUCAUCACAGAUGAUUUUUUCUACUUUAAGAUCAGAACUAUACAAGCUUCUUGCUUUGUGUCAGCAUGCUGUUGUACCCAUGGGCAAAUUCUUAGGUAAGACAAAAACACAGCCCCAAGGGCAGGUAGUAAUUUUUUCAGAAAAAGGUAAGGCAAUCAUUUAUCUCAGUCUGCCCAGGACAGUCCCAAUUUACACAUGUAUAUUCUCCCAAUCUGUAGGCUGUCUUUUCAUUUUGUUGAUUAUUUCAUUUAAUUUUUUAUUAUUUAUUUAUUUUAUAGAGACAGAUCUCAUUAUGUUGCCCAGGGUGAUCCUUGAUCUCCUGGCCUCAAGUGAUCCUCCAACCUUGGUCUCCCAAAGUGCUGGGAUUACAGAUGUGAACUACCACACCCAGUCAACGUGCAGAAGGUUUUCAGUUUGAUGUAGUCUGAUGUAGUCUCAUGUAUUUAUCCUUGUUGUUGUUGCCUGAGCUUUUGGUGUGAUAUCCAAAAAUAUCAUUGCCAAGAUCAAUAUCAAGAAACUUUCCCCCUAUGUUUCUUACAGAAAUUUUAUGGUUUCAGAUUUUUCAUCUAUUUUGAGUAUAUUUUUGUGUAUGAUGUAAGAUAAGGGUCCAGUCUCCCCAGUGUUGGAUAUCCAAUUUUCAUAACACCAUUUAUUGAAGAGAUUAUUCUUUCUCCACUGUGUUUUCUUGAUGUCCUUGUCAAAAAUUAGUUGACUUUUAUAUGCUUGGGUUUAUUUCUGGGCUCUAUUCUGUUUCAUUGCUUUACAUCUCUGUUUUCAUGCCAGUGCCACAGUGUUUUGAUUACUAUAGCUUUGUAAUAUAAUUUGAAAUCAGAAUGUGUAAUACCUAUAACUUUGUUUUUUGCUCUAAAGAUUUAUUUAUUUAUUUAUUUAUUUUUGCCAUUUCAGGUCUUUUGUGGUUUCAUAUGAAUUUCAGAAUUGUUUUUCCUAUUUCUGUGAAAAAUGCCAUUGACAUUUUGAUAGGGAUUGUGUUGAAUCUAUAUAUUGCUUUGGAUAGUAUGGAUGUUUUAACACUAUUAAUUCUCCCAAUCCAUGAACAUGAAAUAUCUUUCCAUUCACUUGUGUCUUCUUCAAUUUCUUUCAUCAAUGUUUUAUAGUUUUCAUUGUGCAGAUCUUUCACUUACCUGGUUAAAUUUAUUCCUACAAUUUCAUUCUUUUUGAUAUUAGGGUAAAUUGAAUUAUUUUCUUGAUUUCUAUAAAUUAUUUAUUAUCAUACUCAUACUUGUCAGGCCUCUGGGCCCAAGCCUGCAUGUAUACAUCCAGAUGGCCUGAAAUAACUGAAGAAUCACAAAAGAAGUGAAAAUGGCCAGUUCCUGCCUUAACUGGUGACAUUACCUUGUGAAAUUCCUUCUCCUGGCUCAGAAGCUCCCCCGCUGAGCACCUUGUGACCCCCGUCCCUGCCCACCAGAGAACAACCCCCUUUGACUGUAAUUGUCCACUACCCACCCAAAUCCUAUAAAACAGCCCCACCCCUGUCUCCCUUCACUGACUCCUUUUUCAGACUCAGCCUGCCUGCACCCAGGUGAAAUAAACAGCCUUGUUGCUCACACAAA